UAUAUUCUUUUAGAAAUUUUCGCUGCUUCAUACGGCACGCAUUGCGCAACCAUUUCGUAACGUGUCAACAGUUUUCUGUCAGUCUAUGAAUGGAUAGGCGGAAAUUGUGGAUUUGUUCCGACGAGUUCGUAGGUUUCGAAGCAUGUAUCCGACACAUGGAUAAAACAAAAUUUAAAGAUCGAUCUUCGUCAUUUUCAUCAUUUUCGUAACCUGAAACUGAUAAGAUUUACUAGGUUACCAUGACACAAAGUUAACGAACGCUCGAAGCAUAACAUUCCAACCGAGUGUCGUCGAUAUUCCCCAGAGUAAUUUUCUGCAAGGACAAAAGUGGUGUGCUAUGCCGGGGAACAUCUUCGUCAUUUCCGGGACGGUUAUACAAAGCCACGUGUAUCGAUCAGGUCAGGUCUCUCCUAUCUUUUACCGGGACUAGUAUUGGGGGUAUGGAAAACACGCCUAGCUGUAUGUGUACGCAGUCGAGGAUCGAAAAUCGAUCCAACCUGUCCGCUCUUAAUGAAACACGACGUAUCAAACGUCUUACGCGGACUUGGAAUUAUCGCUAUCAGCUUCGCGAUCCGAUGGAAAAAUACGAUAAAAUGUGACACGGACAUUGCAGAGGAAUUAUUAUACGGUAGAAUUUUUAAUUGAAAAAAGCAAGGAAAGGAAAAGCCAAAUCGAAAGAAAAUGAUAUCGGGCAGUUUGAAUAAUACUACCAACAAUCGUAAAAUAUAUAUAAAUUUAUCUUGUAACCAUCCUAGACGAAUUCCAUUGAAAGAGAGAAGCGAGAGUAACAGCAAAGACUAAAGGCGAACAAAAUGAAAGGAGAAAAAUAAGUGAUCUCGUUGGACCUACUAUAAGAUGGAGCUCUAUAGUGAGGUGGAGUGAGAGAAUCGAAAGACAGAAUCUGUUCGAAACGCGAAGCUGUACAACGCAUUUCCAGAUGUGACUAGAAGUAUCGUUUUCCUCCACAACACGAGCCACGAAGAUUGCUCUACAUUUCACCUUCCGUGGUAUCGUUUCUCUUUAUGUUACACGUAGGGGUUUAGGACAUUUCUUCUGCGCCGAGCCGGCGUAGAUGCGGUGAACAAAGAGAUAUAAUGGUAACUGGAACUUUUUGUCUCGACGGAAGUUAUAUUACAGGGGAAGAUCUUUGCUGCAUCGAAUCUCGUGACGUUUUUAACGAGAUUGUUUGCAAAAAGAUAGAAAGGUAUCGGUGAUACAUCGUUAAAAUUUUUGUAAAGUGUGUUUGUAGUAGAACUAUUUUAUGAAUUCUUCGUAAUUACAUACCUUGAAA
This is a long non-coding RNA of Bombus impatiens (common eastern bumble bee), 1291 nucleotides long. RefSeq lists it as uncharacterized. The record is from RefSeq and is a predicted model, not a curated record. Lineage: Eukaryota; Metazoa; Arthropoda; Insecta; Hymenoptera; Apidae. The transcript has 4 exons.